This 492-nucleotide ribosomal RNA is filed under the name uncultured bacterium. RNAcentral's name for it is "partial 16S ribosomal RNA". It matches the Rfam family "Bacterial small subunit ribosomal RNA", at positions 29 to 507 of the family's 1533-position model. The record is from RNAcentral.
AGUGAACGCUGGCGGUAGGCCUAACACAUGCAAGUCGAACGGCAGCACAGUAAGAGCUUGCUCUUACGGGUGGCGAGUGGCGGACGGGUGAGGAAUACAUCGGAAUCUACUUUUUCGUGGGGGAUAACGUAGGGAAACUUACGCUAAUACCGCAUACGACCUACGGGUGAAAGCAGGGGAUCUUCGGACCUUGCGCGACUGAAUGAGCCGAUGUCGGAUUAGCUAGUUGGCGGGGUAAAGGCCCACCAAGGCGACGAUCCGUAGCUGGUCUGAGAGGAUGAACAGCCACACUGGAACUGAGACACGGUCCAGACUCCUACGGGAGGCAGCAGUGGGGAAUAUUGGACAAUGGGCGCAAGCCUGAUCCAGCCAUACCGCGUGGGUGAAGAAGGCCUUCGGGUUGUAAAGCCCUUUUGUUGGGAAAGAAAAGCAGCAGGUUAAUACCCCGCUGUUCUGACGGUACCCAAAGAAUAAGCACCGGCUAACUUCGUG